GGGCCCUUAGCUCAGCGGAUUAAGAGCAUCUGACUACGGAUCAGAAGGUCGCAGGUUCGAAUCCUGCAGGGCCCA
Molecule: transfer RNA, 75 nt
Filed under: Candidatus Methylacidithermus pantelleriae
Lineage: Bacteria; Pseudomonadati; Verrucomicrobiota; Methylacidiphilae; Methylacidiphilales; Methylacidiphilaceae
Rfam family: tRNA
About the family: Transfer RNA (tRNA) molecules are approximately 80 nucleotides in length.
Source: Rfam by way of RNAcentral